UAGGGAAUCUUCGGCAAUGGGGGCAACCCUGACCGAGCAACGCCGCGUGAGUGAAGAAGGUUUUCGGAUCGUAAAGCUCUGUUGUAAGAGAAGAACGAGUGUGAGAGUGGAAAGUUCACACUGUGACGGUAACUUACCAGAAAGGGACGGCUAACUACGUGCCAGCAGCCGCGGUAAUACGUAGGUGGCAAGCGUUGUCCGGAAUUAUUGGGCGUAAAGCGCGCGCAGGCGGAUUGGUCAGUCUGUCUUAAAAGUUCGGGGCUUAACCCCGUGAUGGGAUGGAAACUGCCAAUCUAGAGUAUCGGAGAGGAAAGUGGAAUUCCUAGUGUAGCGGUGAAAUGCGUAGAUAUUAGGAAGAACACCAGUGGCGAAGGCGACUUUCUGGACGAAAACUGACGCUGAGGCGCGAAAGCCAGGGGAGCGAACGGGAUUAGAUACCCCGGUAGUCCUGGCCGUAAACGAUGGGUACUAGGUGUAGGAGGUAUCGACCCCUUCUGUGCCGGAGUUAACGCAAUAAGUACCCCGCCUGGGGAGUACGACCGCAAGGUUG
RNAcentral lists this ribosomal RNA (550 nucleotides) under uncultured bacterium. Its description in RNAcentral is "bacterial SSU rRNA". It matches the Rfam family "Bacterial small subunit ribosomal RNA", at positions 355 to 896 of the family's 1533-position model. The record is from RNAcentral.